AAACAUCCGCCGGAAGAACGGAACUCAUUGAUGUUGAGUAUUAUGAAAAUUUUUCGAUGUUUA
RNAcentral lists this transfer RNA (63 nucleotides) under Galba truncatula. RNAcentral describes it as "tRNA-Ile". The record is from RNAcentral. Lineage: Eukaryota; Metazoa; Mollusca; Gastropoda; Lymnaeidae.